GCGGCGGCGCGGCUGGCUCGGUGGCGGGCGGGCGGGCGCCAUGGGGCUGUGAGCCGGCCGGGCAGCGCCCAGGCCUCGCGCCCGCCAUGCCAGGCAAAGCCCAGCAUUUCCAGGGUCCCCAGGUCAGCUGCUGCGCCAAGUACCUGCUCUUCGCCUCCAAUGUGCUCUUCUGGUUGCUGGGGGCUGCCUUCCUGGCCAUUGGUCUGUGGGCCUGGGCAGAAAAGGGUGUCCUUUCCAAUCUCUCAUCCAUCACAGACCUGGGUGGCUUUGACCCCGUGUGGCUUUUCCUCGUGGUUGGAGGGGUGAUGUUCGUGUUGGGCUUUGCUGGUUGCAUUGGGGCCUUGAGGGAGAAUACGUUCCUGCUCAAAUUUUUUUCUGUUUUCCUGGGUCUCAUAUUUUUCCUGGAGUUGACAGCUGGUGUCUUGGCCUUCAUCUUCAAAGACUGGAUCAAAGACCAGCUCAACUUCUUCAUCAACAACAACGUCAAGGCCUACCGCGAUGAUAUUGACCUGCAGAACCUCAUUGACUUUGCUCAGGAAUAUUGGUCUUGCUGUGGGGCUCGUGGACCUAACGACUGGAACCUCAACAUUUAUUUCAAUUGCACUGACUCCAACCCCAGCAGGGAACGCUGUGGGGUGCCCUUUUCCUGCUGUGUCAAGGAUCCUGCGGAGGAUGUUCUCAACACACAGUGUGGCUAUGAUGUCCGCCUUAAACUGGAGCUGGAGCAGCAGAGCUUUAUCCAUACCAAGGGAUGUGCUGGCCAGUUUGAGAAAUGGCUCCAGGACAAUCUCAUUGUAGUGGCAGGGACAUUUGUUGGCGUUGCACUGCUCCAGAUGCAGCAUGCACUCGCAUGCCUUGCAAGAUGGAUCUUCUGAAGAUUGCCAGCCACAUGCUUGUGAAGCUGCUGAGAGAAUGUUGGGCCUACUCAUAAAUGUGUCAUCCACUCAGUCUUAUGAAGUGACUGCAAAUCCCACCUUUCAUUACCUAUCCACCCAUGAACCUGUCCCUUUAUCCCAUGACUGCUAAGUUUACUCAAGAGCCUUUGGUGGGGAAUUUUGUCAAAAGCUUUUUGGAAGUCCAAGUAUACUCUUGUCAACUGGAUCACCUUUAUCCACAUGCCUGUUGACACUCUCAAGGAACUCCAAAAGAUCUUCGGUAUUUGCCUGGCACAGAACCUAGUGAGCGACAUCAAUGCUGUGAAGGCCAAUUGGUGAUAUCCGAGCGGGGCCUGUGCUCUCUUCCGCAGACUCUCAGUGCCACUGCAAGACUGAAGCCACAGUCCCGGCUGCAACCAUUGGGGGCUGCUGUGCCACCUGCUAGCUGGGUGUCUGUGUGCAUGUGUGGCGCCAGGGGUACUCGUAUGAACGGCUGCCUGGUGCCCCUCCAUCGCUUUCUUUCCUUGGUUGGAGCAGUCCUACCAUAUGAGUUGUGGGUGGUCCUGUAAAUAGUAUUUAUAUAGGGCAUCCUGGGCAGGGUUCCCUCUCCUGCCACUGCGAGAUCUCUGGAGCCAGAGGGCCUGUUGCACCUGCAGGCCAAAUGAGAGAGGCAGCUCUGGAGUGGGCCAGUUGCCACAGGAACCCCCUGGUGCUGGGGCGUGGCCCCUGUGGCUUCCCAUUCGGGAGCUGGCUGCAACCGGAGCCCUGUCCCUGCUGCCUGGUGCAGCCCCCACACUCCUGCCCUCCUCCGAGCCCCGACUUGAUUGUCCCGAGCUCCUUUCCCCCACGGGCUCAGGUCUCGUCUCUGCUGGGGGACUGGGUUAGGGAGACACGAGCUUGGGCUCCCCUGUGCAGGCUAGACCCCAUGCCAGGGGCUGACCUGGGCCACGUGGCUCUGCUCUCGGCUCCUUCUCCUGGGAACAAGCAGGAAGGGGGAUGUGGGGGCAAGAUGCUGCUGGUGUCCCUCAUUUGCCACCGUGACCCUCCGCCCUGCCUGCUCUGGUUCCCCAAAGGGGCAGGCAGAGCCCCAGUUCUACAGCUAUGCACAGGCGGUAUAGAGUGGAGUGUGCCCAAGGAAGACCACACGUGGGCCCAGCCAUCCGAGAGGGAGAGGGGGGAGAAAUCUGCCUAAAACCCAUGUUGGAUUAAACGAAAACCAAUCUGGCCAUGCAAGGAAAAACGGGAAUGACUGAGCAUAGGGUCAUGCUCCUUUGUGUAUUAGGGAGGGGGAGAGAGAGAGAGAGAAACUGUGAAAGAGUUUCCAACUAGAAAGAGACUAUGGGGGAGGGAGCACCCCUUCGCUUGUAUGACAAAUAUGCAGCCCCUUGUGUGCCGCCGCCCCCCCCCCCGCCUUUCAUGUUUUGCUCGAAGGGGGCCGUGGGGUACUCUCAACUCCGCCCGCACCAGGUUUUGGCCCUGACUGAGUAAAGUGCUGUGUCCUUUCCUUGAGCUGCCCUUUGGCUCCAUAGGACACUCGUGCUUAACAAACCGGCAGGUGGUGGUGCUGAGAGGGUAUUGGCACCUGGCAGGGAAAGGUUUCUGCAUUCAGGUGCUCAUCUGUGUUGCUGUGCUCUCAGUUCUACCCCACCCACCACCCACCCCUCUCUCUCUCUCGGAUGGGAUUUCUCCCUCAUCCCCUGGACUCUGCUGCUAACAGAACUGAUCAGCUCAUCUGGGGUUCUGUUGACCUUCUGUACCCAAUAAAGCAACCCCUACCAA
Hemicordylus capensis (graceful crag lizard) is the source of this 2654-nucleotide RNA transcript. It is a transcript of the gene named tetraspanin 17, with no coding region annotated. The record is from RefSeq and is a predicted model, not a curated record. The transcript is spliced from 10 exons. NCBI's taxonomy places the organism in Eukaryota, Metazoa, Chordata, Lepidosauria, Squamata, Cordylidae.